RNAcentral lists this long non-coding RNA (906 nucleotides) under Triticum aestivum (bread wheat). RNAcentral describes it as "long non-coding RNA (TAES_LNC011852)". The record is from RNAcentral. Lineage: Eukaryota; Viridiplantae; Streptophyta; Magnoliopsida; Poales; Poaceae.
UAACACCUUGUUCGUUGGUGAAAAAGUGCAAAUUUAUCCGAAUUGUGCUGCUAAAACAAAGUUCUUGAUAUGAGCUACCUAUAAUCAUCUAGCGCGGCUUAUAUAAUUUUUUGACAGUAAGACUCAUGGCACAGAAUAGAUCUAAUACCUCUGUUUGGACAAGAAGCAAUAGAGAAUUAAUUUGCUAGAUUUGAAAAGCACAACCCGGUAUUUUAGUGUUUGGUGAAUUGAUAGCAUCAUCACAAACACCAUACAGAUAGAGGUUUUUUGUCUAAUUAGUCAAUUAACAACAUACAUGAACAGAUACACUGGGUGAAGUAUGUGUGCAUCACCCCUCUAUCUAAUACUCAUCGCAAGCACCAAAAUAAAUUAUCUUAGUUUUGUACAGAAAUCCCAACUGAUGAAGCGAGGAUAAAUUCCAAAAGCCAGUGUUGGCAGGAACUCCUAAACCACUAACCUGAAAAAAGCAUAUUCAUAUAGAGAUGAGAGCCUGGCAGGAACUCCUAAACCACUAACCUGAAAAAAGCAUAUUCAUAUAGAGAUGAGAGCCGAAAAACCCUUGGUCAAAAUCAGUAGCAAAACUGUACAAGUACCUCUUUUCCAACGUAAUAACACAACCAUCACCUUUUGGAAUUGAUAAAUAACGCAUGCAAGAUUUCACAUUUGGAAAGGACCAUUGGCCUAACACAGGUUGAUUUUGUGCAUCUUAGUCUUCCUAUAAUAGCUAAAAAAGGGUCAAAUGUUGAUCUAUCGCUGCGAAAGGAACGUGGUUCUUCUAUGAUACUCAAAAACUCAAGACCUCAGUUGUGGCUAUCCACAAAUAAUAAGUUUUGGGCCAUAAAUAAAUAGAAUGUAGUGUUUAUCAUGUGAAAUGGCAAGUGGAAGUUCUUUAUAUUGAAAGUCGGG